UGUUGUCUGAUGCGUGAAUGAAGAAGCCGCAAACCUAACGCUCAGUUCUCUGAGGAUCUGUGCUGUGGAAUCUGUGUCAAGUAAUCCUCCUUUGCUUCGGAGUUAUGAGGAGGUCUGAAGGCAUUAAAUGAAAUCAAAUCUUCUCUCCGGCUGACCCGAUCAGGCCCGCUCGCCACAGAGCCGCAACAGCCACUGCGCUUUCAUGGAUGCCAACGAUGGAUCUCCACCUCUCGUUCGGCCGAAGAAAUCAAUGCCCGAAUGGAAGCCAUGUCCUUUGCUGACCAAAUACAACUCCCAACAGUGUCUCCCCAUGCUAUUUAAACCCCCCUCCAGCCCCUCACGUUCCUCACCCAUCCUCCUCCUCCUCUUUCUUCUUCUUCUUCUUCUUCUUCUUCUUCUUUCUCACAACUCCAUGAAGAUAACCUUUGUGCUCAUUGCUUUCCUCGUCUUCGUGUCUUUAGCCCAUGCGGGCCGGACAGCGCCAGUGGAAUAUCCAGAGAAGACCAGCCUUCAGGGCGUGCAGAAGGAGACGCCGGAGAGGGUGGAAGGAUGUGAGGGCGUCGGGGCGGAUGAAUGCUUGAUGAGGAGAUCCCUGGCAGCUCACACUGACUACAUCUACACCCAGGAGCACCAUUAAGAGGGAGGUGGUGACACGGUUGUGCUCUUUUGGCUGGUGGAUCUUUCUGCCACAAGCAUUCCAUCCAUCGUGUCAUGAUCACUGCUAUGUCUCAUGUGUGUUGCUGGCUUUAGGAGUAACAUGCAGGUCGUGUGAUGCUGACCUGCAUCUAUGUUCUAUGUUUCCAGGACUCGUAAACACCAAUAAAUAUAGGGUAAAUUUUGGUUUUA
Long non-coding RNA from Musa acuminata AAA Group (dessert banana), 846 nucleotides. RefSeq lists it as uncharacterized. Lineage: Eukaryota; Viridiplantae; Streptophyta; Magnoliopsida; Zingiberales; Musaceae. The record is from RefSeq and is a predicted model, not a curated record. The transcript has 2 exons.